CUACGGGAUGCAGCAGUGAGGAAUAUUGCACAAUGGAGGAAACUCUGAUGCAGCAACGCCGCGUGGAGGAUGACACUUGUCGGAGCGUAAACUCCUUUUAUAUAGGAAGAAGAUGACGGUACUAUAUGAAUAAGCGCCGGCUAACUCCGUGCCAGCAGCCGCGGUAAUACGGAGGGCGCAAGCGUUACUCGGAAUCACUGGGCGUAAAGAGCGUGUAGGCGGAUUAAAAAGUCAGAAGUGAAAUCCUAUAGCUUAACUAUAGAACUGCUUCUGAAACUCUUAAUCUAGAAUAUGGGAGAGGUAGAUGGAAUUUCUGGUGUAGGGGUAACAUCCGUAGAGAUCAGAAGGAAUACCGAUUGCGAAGGCGAUCUACUAGAACAUUAUUGACGCUGAGACGCGAAAGCGUGGAGAGCAAACAGGAUUAGAUACCCGUGUAGUC
RNAcentral lists this ribosomal RNA (439 nucleotides) under uncultured bacterium. RNAcentral's name for it is "partial 16S ribosomal RNA". It matches the Rfam family "Bacterial small subunit ribosomal RNA", at positions 339 to 795 of the family's 1533-position model. The record is from RNAcentral.